GACGAACGCUGGCGGCGUGCCUAAUACAUGCAAGUCGAGCGAUGAAGAUUGGUGCUUGCACCUUUUUGAAGAGCAGCGGACGGGUGAGUAACGCGUGGGGAAUCUGCCUUUGAGCGUGGGACAACUUCUGGAAACGAAUGCUAAUACCGCAUAACAACUUUAACCAUAAGGUUUAAGUGUGAAAGAUGCAAUUGCAUCACCCAAUGAUGAUCCCGCGUUGUAUUAGCCUGUUGGUGAGGGAAAGGCCCACCAAGGCGACGAUAACGAACCGACCUGAGAGGGUGAUCAGCCCCAUUGGGACUGAGACACGGCCCCAGCCCCCACCGGGGGCAGCAGUAGGGGAUCUUGGGCAAGGGGCGGAAGUCUGACCGAGGCACGCCGCGGGAGUGCAGAAGGUUUUCGGAUUGUAAAACUCUGUUUAUAGAGAAGAACCUUGGGGGGAGUGGAAAGCUCAUCAAGUGACGGUACCUAACCAGAAAGCGACGGCUAACUACGUG
Molecule: ribosomal RNA, 497 nt
Filed under: uncultured bacterium
Lineage: Bacteria
Description: partial 16S ribosomal RNA
Rfam family: Bacterial small subunit ribosomal RNA
Source: RNAcentral